RNAcentral lists this ribosomal RNA (468 nucleotides) under uncultured bacterium. RNAcentral's name for it is "partial 16S ribosomal RNA". It matches the Rfam family "Bacterial small subunit ribosomal RNA", at positions 28 to 507 of the family's 1533-position model. The record is from RNAcentral.
GACGAACGCUGGCGGCGUGCUUAACACAUGCAAGUCGAACGGAAAGGCCCUGCUUUUGUGGGGUGCUCGAGUGGCGAACGGGUGAGUAACACGUGAGUAACCUGCCCUUGACUUUGGGAUAACUUCAGGAAACUGGGGCUAAUACUGGAUAGGAGCUCCUGCUGCAUGGUGGGGGUUGGAAAGUUUCGGCGGUUGGGGAUGGACUCGCGGCUUAUCAGCUUGUUGGUGGGGUAGUGGCUUACCAAGGCUUUGACGGGUAGCCGGCCUGAGAGGGUGACCGGCCACAUUGGGACUGAGAUACGGCCCAGACUCCUACGGGAGGCAGCAGUGGGGAAUAUUGCACAAUGGGCGGAAGCCUGAUGCAGCAACGCCGCGUGCGGGAUGACGGUCUUCGGGUUGUAAACCGCUUUCGCCUGUGACGAAGCGUGAGUGACGGUAAUGGGUAAAGAAGCACCGGCUAACUACGUG